UACAGAGGUGGCAAGCGUUGUUCGGAAUUACUGGGCGUAAAGGGCGCGUAGGCGGUUUCGUAAGUCCCGUGUGAAAGCCCCCGGCUCAACUGGGGAACUGCACGGGAAACUGCGAGGCUUGAGUUCGGGAGAGGGAAGCGGAAUUCCGGGUGUAGCGGUGAAAUGCGUAGAUAUCCGGAGGAACACCAGUGGCGAAGGCGGCUUCCUGGACCGAUACUGACGCUGAGGCGCGAAAGCUAGGGGAGCAAACGGG
This 253-nucleotide ribosomal RNA is filed under the name uncultured bacterium. RNAcentral describes it as "partial 16S ribosomal RNA". It matches the Rfam family "Bacterial small subunit ribosomal RNA", at positions 524 to 776 of the family's 1533-position model. The record is from RNAcentral.